Molecule: ribosomal RNA, 519 nt
Filed under: uncultured eukaryote
Lineage: Eukaryota
Description: SSU rRNA
Rfam family: Eukaryotic small subunit ribosomal RNA
Source: RNAcentral
AGGGCACCACCAGGAGUGGAGCCUGCGGCUUAAUUUGACUCAACACGGGAAAACUUACCUGGUCCUGACACUAGAAGGAUUGACAGAUUGAUAGCUCUUUCUUGAUUUGGUGGAUGGUGGUGCAUGGCCGUUCUUAGUUGGUGGAGUGAUUUGUCUGGUUAAUUCCGAUAACGAACGAGACUCUAGCCUAUUAAAUAACACGCAGAAUCUUGUCUUCUGCGGUGUUUCUUAAUGGGAUCAAGUGUGUUUAACGCUUUGAAACAGAGCAAUAACAGGUCUGUGAUGCCCUUAGAUGUUCGGGGCUGCACGCGCGCUACAUUGAAAGACAAAAUGAGCCUUCUAGUUUUUAAUAAAGCUAGUAAUCUUUGAAUGUUUUUCUUAAUGGGGAUAGGGGAUUGCAAUUGUGCCCCUUGAACGAGGAACUCCCAGUAAGUGCUAAUCAUUAGUUAGUACUGAUUACGUCCCUGCCCUUUGUACACACCGCCCGUCGCUACUACCGAUUGAAUGGUUUAGUGAGAU